Molecule: ribosomal RNA, 1251 nt
Filed under: Salmonella enterica
Lineage: Bacteria; Pseudomonadati; Pseudomonadota; Gammaproteobacteria; Enterobacterales; Enterobacteriaceae
Description: partial 23S ribosomal RNA
Rfam family: Bacterial large subunit ribosomal RNA
Source: RNAcentral
UCGGGUGAAGGAACUAGGCAAAAUGGUGCCGUAACUUCGGGAGAAGGCACGCUGACACGUAGGUGAAGUGAUUUACUCAUGGAGCUGAAGUCAGUCGAAGAUACCAGCUGGCUGCAACUGUUUAUUAAAAACACAGCACUGUGCAAACACGAAAGUGGACGUAUACGGUGUGACGCCUGCCCGGUGCCGGAAGGUUAAUUGAUGGGGUCAGCGCAAGCGAAGCUCCUGAUCGAAGCCCCGGUAAACGGCGGCCGUAACUAUAACGGUCCUAAGGUAGCGAAAUUCCUUGUCGGGUAAGUUCCGACCUGCACGAAUGGCGUAAUGAUGGCCAGGCUGUCUCCACCCGAGACUCAGUGAAAUUGAACUCGCUGUGAAGAUGCAGUGUACCCGCGGCAAGACGGAAAGACCCCGUGAACCUUUACUAUAGCUUGACACUGAACAUUGAGCCUUGAUGUGUAGGAUAGGUGGGAGGCUUUGAAGUGUGGACGCCAGUCUGCAUGGAGCCGACCUUGAAAUACCACCCUUUAAUGUUUGAUGUUCUAACGUGGACCCGUGAUCCGGGUUGCGGACAGUGUCUGGUGGGUAGUUUGACUGGGGCGGUCUCCUCCUAAAGAGUAACGGAGGAGCACGAAGGUUGGCUAAUCCUGGUCGGACAUCAGGAGGUUAGUGCAAUGGCAUAAGCCAGCUUGACUGCGAGCGUGACGGCGCGAGCAGGUGCGAAAGCAGGUCAUAGUGAUCCGGUGGUUCUGAAUGGAAGGGCCAUCGCUCAACGGAUAAAAGGUACUCCGGGGAUAACAGGCUGAUACCGCCCAAGAGUUCAUAUCGACGGCGGUGUUUGGCACCUCGAUGUCGGCUCAUCACAUCCUGGGGCUGAAGUAGGUCCCAAGGGUAUGGCUGUUCGCCAUUUAAAGUGGUACGCGAGCUGGGUUUAGAACGUCGUGAGACAGUUCGGUCCCUAUCUGCCGUGGGCGCUGGAGAACUGAGGGGGGCUGCUCCUAGUACGAGAGGACCGGAGUGGACGCAUCACUGGUGUUCGGGUUGUCAUGCCAAUGGCACUGCCCGGUAGCUAAAUGCGGAAGAGAUAAGUGCUGAAAGCAUCUAAGCACGAAACUUGCCCCGAGAUGAGUUCUCCCUGAGACUUUAGGUCUCCUGAAGGAACGUUGAAGACGACGACGUUGAUAGGCCGGGUGUGUAAGCGCAGCGAUGCGUUGAGCUAACCGGUACUAAUGAACCGUGAGGCUUAACCUUACA